GAAGCACAAAGAAGUUAAGUACUUGCCCAAGUUCACACCAAGAUUUGAACCCAGGUAGUCUUACUUCAGAGACUACGUUUUUAUCCGUGGCCAUUGCCAACCUCAUGCUCAUUCAUUUGUAACUACUCUUGCUGCUAUGUGGAGAACAGAUGGGAGGUGGACACUCAGGGAAACAGGUAAUUUGCCUUGCUACCAGUGUUUCUCUACCAUAAAAAUAUUA
This 220-nucleotide long non-coding RNA is filed under the name Sus scrofa (pig). RNAcentral describes it as "lncRNA (ENSSSCG00000041432.2)". The record is from RNAcentral. Lineage: Eukaryota; Metazoa; Chordata; Mammalia; Artiodactyla; Suidae.